This 143-nucleotide small nuclear RNA is filed under the name Myotis davidii. RNAcentral's name for it is "U4 spliceosomal RNA". It matches the Rfam family "U4 spliceosomal RNA". Rfam says of the family: U4 small nuclear RNA (U4 snRNA) is a component of the major U2-dependent spliceosome. The structure of U4 snRNA from yeast and human has been reported. U4 snRNA presents a k-turn RNA motif in the 5p-SL related to recognition of Snu13 protein. Lineage: Eukaryota; Metazoa; Chordata; Mammalia; Chiroptera; Vespertilionidae. The record is from Rfam by way of RNAcentral.
AGGUUUGCGCAGUGGCAGUAUCGUAGCCAAUGAGGUUUAUCCAAGGCACAAUUAUUGCUAAUAAUAAUAAAAAAAUGCCAACAAUGCUGUCCAGCUGGAUUCCCAACAGGUAACGUAAUUUCUAAGUGGUGUGAGGCUGACCU